CGCUCAAUAGCUAGCCCACCCUAACAAAACCAACAUUACCCCAUCUAUACCCCCUAAAACACUUCAACCCAAAAAACAAACCAUUUUUCCCCCUAAGUAUGGGCGACAGAAAAGGAAUUAAGAGCAAUAGAGAAAGUACCGCAAGGGAAAGCUGAAAGAGAAAUGAAAUAACCCAGUAAAGCCCCAAAAAGCAGAGACUCGCCCUCGUACCUUUUGCAUCAUGAUUUAGCCAGUACCCCCCAAGCAAAAAGAAUUUUAGUUUGACACCCCGAAACUAGAUGAGCUACUCCAAGACAGCCUAACUAUAAGGGCACACCCGUCUCUGUGGCAAAAGAGUGGGAAGAGCUUUGAGUAGAGGUGAUAGACCUACCGAAUCUAGUUAUAGCUGGUUGCCUGUGAAUUGGAUAUGAGUUCAGCCUCUAAAAUUCUUCCCUCAACCUGUCUUUUCCCUGCCUAUCCCUGAGACCAGAAGAAAUCAAGAGAGUUAGUCAAAGGGGGUACAGCCCCUUUGAAACAAGACACAACUUUUCCAGGAGGAUAAAGAUCACAAUCAUCUCAAGGAAAAACGCUGGAGUGGGCCUAAAAGCAGCCAUCCCCGUGGAAAGCGUUAAAGCUCGAGCGUAAACAAACCCCUAUAAUACUGAUAACAAAUCUUAAACCCCUAAACCUACCAGGCCGUCCCAUGCCCCCAUGGGAGCGAUUAUGCUAAUAUGAGUAAUAAGAGAGUACUUACCUCUCUCCCUGCACACGUGUAAAUCGGAACGGACCUCCCACCGAAUCUUAACGGCCCCAAGCGAAGAGGGCACUGAGUAAAAACCCAAACAACAAGAAAAACACCCAACAAUUCUACCGUUAACCCCACACUGGCGUGCACACAGGGAAAGACUAAAAGAAAAAGAAGGAACUCGGCAAAUACACUCAAAGCCUCGCCUGUUUACCAAAAACACCGCCUCUUGAGACCCGACUAUAAGAGGUCCCGCCUGCCCCGUGACCAUGAGUUUAACGGCCGCGGUACUUUGACCGUGCGAAGGUAGCGCAAUCACUUGUCUUUUAAAUGGAGACCUGUAUGAAUGGCAUGACGAGGGCUUAACUGUCUCCUUUUUCCAGUCAAUGAAAUUGAUCUUCCCGUGCAGAAGCGGGAAUAACACCAUAAGACGAGAAGACCCUGUGGAGCUUUAGACACCAAGACAGACCAUGUUAAACACCCCUCCUAAGGGAUUAAACUCAUUGGAUUCCUGCUCUAAUGUCUUUGGUUGGGGCGACCUCGGAGAAACAAAAAACCUCCAUGUGGAAUAGGAGUACUACACUCCCAAAACCAAGAGCCACAGCUCAAAUUAACAGAACUUCUGACCAAUCUUUUUUAAACAGAUCCGGCCACCCACGCCGAUCAACGGACCGAGUUACCCCAGGGAUAACAGCGCAAUCCUCUUUUAGAGCUCAUAUCGACAAGAGGGUUUACGACCUCGAUGUUGGAUCAGGACAUCCUAAUGGUGCAGCCGCUAUUAAGGGUUCGUUUGUUCAACGAUUAAAGUCCUACGUGAUCUGAGUUCAGACCGGAGUAAUCCAGGUCAGUUUCUAUCUAUGUUAUGAUCUUCUCUAGUACGAAAGGACCGAGGAGAGGAGGCCAAUACCCUAAGUACGCCUCACCCCCACCUAAUGAAACCAACUAAAAUAAGUAAGAGGGCAUAAUCCCUCGCUAUAGACAAUAGCAU
Molecule: ribosomal RNA, 1712 nt
Filed under: Dascyllus trimaculatus (three spot damselfish)
Lineage: Eukaryota; Metazoa; Chordata; Actinopteri; Pomacentridae
Description: 16S ribosomal RNA
Rfam family: Bacterial large subunit ribosomal RNA (bases 97-1633)
Source: RNAcentral